AUCAGCUCUUAUAAAAAGGUGAGCUUGGCCCAGUAAUCCAGCUGCUGCUUGUCUUUGGGGUGUCAUAGGCUUAGCUAAUCCUGUUGACUCUAAUUCUAACUGGGUGGCUCUUGUUAAAUCUUUGAGCAAAAGAUAGAAUCUUUAGGCCAGUGGCGUGUGAAGAAAGUAUGCCAAACAUUCUUGAUUCUGCCAAGGUCUCAAAGCAAGAACUUCAUUUAUUUAUUUAUUUUUCACAAGGUUUAAGAGCUGCUCGCACUGAUCGCCACUCGAAGGCUGUGGUUGGAACCUAACCAAGAUAGUAGAAACACUGCUUUUAUCAAGCUGGGCAUCACGCUUUAAAGACCUAAUUGCCUGGAGAUCAUUCAGGUGGCAACCCAAUAGAUCUGUCCCAGUGAUUUGUGGGGAGACAUUCUUAAGUGCUGGAGAGGAGUGAGACCUAUAAAGGGGAAGGAUUGUGUUUCGUUGGGUCUCCUUAAAUUCUUCUUAAAGCCCUAGGAUGACUUAUUCGGGUGUAUACAUGACAGAAUCAACGCAAGUUUUUCUGAGACCCUAAGACUUCUGAGACCCUAAGAUCCUAAGUUUUUCUGAGACCCCUAAAUAAGGGGACUUUAAGUAGAUCUAAAAGAAUUUGAGGGAGCAGAAAUGGUAGGGAUUGGAUAAAGAGUACCACAGUGUGAAAGUAAGUUAAAGACUUUCCCUGUUUGAAUAACAUUCAUUGGUUUGAAAUGAUAAUUGUGGGAACUUUGGAGAAAGCUUUAGACUCAAGAGUGAGUUGUCUUUUAAUAUUCAACAUAGCAAGUUAUGUCUGUGAGGGGAUGAGUAAUUUUGGAUGGUUUUUGAGUUUUAGAACACUGUACUUGGGAACCCUACUAUGAACUUUUGAGUGUAGACUGCUCUCCAUAAAAUAGCUUAGGCAGUUUGAAUUUUUUUUGUUAAUGGCUGUAGCCAUUAUGUGCUGUAGCACUUGGAUUUGAUCCCUAAUGCUUUGUAGUCUGACGGCAAUCUCUAGACCCCGGAGCCCUGGGACUGAUUCCAGCCAAACAGUCGGUCAGCUCUGGAAAAGAAAGAAGUUGCUGCCCAGAUUGCCGCAAAUGGAAAUGAGAAGAGAGAAAUGCUUAUCAGGGUCUGCUAAUUGUGGUGCUCGCCAGCACAGAAACACGGGGAGGAGUGAGUGACAUCAUGUGUAGGAAGUGCCACAGAGCCUGGAACAUAGUAAAUGUUCAAUAAAUGCGAUGUGUGA
Molecule: long non-coding RNA, 1240 nt
Filed under: Sus scrofa (pig)
Lineage: Eukaryota; Metazoa; Chordata; Mammalia; Artiodactyla; Suidae
Description: lncRNA (ENSSSCG00040064488.1)
Source: RNAcentral